This is a long non-coding RNA of Amphimedon queenslandica, 540 nucleotides long. RefSeq lists it as uncharacterized. The record is from RefSeq and is a predicted model, not a curated record. NCBI's taxonomy places the organism in Eukaryota, Metazoa, Porifera, Demospongiae, Haplosclerida, Niphatidae. The transcript has 2 exons.
UAUAGAGUAUAUGCGUGAGUAAUGAGACAGAUCACAUUAUGAGACAAACCUUUGAAUUGAAACAAGCUCUUGCUUACAAUUUCUUUGCUACCUGACUUAUAAUUUUCUUGCACAGAUAGUUUGAAUAAACGCAGCUUUUUACUAAAAACUAAUUUUCUAAAAUUUUAUUUAUUGAAAUCACGCCUACUAAGGUAAUAAUUACUAAUAAUGACCACGUUGCGAGUUACUACGGUCCUAGUGUGUUGUCUGCUCGAGUCUGUGUGAGUGUUUGGAGACUUUGUUCCAGGCUGUUUCUGUCUCUAAUGUGACUGGCAUUGUAUGUUAACCGAGGCUUAAUGGCCGCAUGUCCUCAAAAGUCUGAGGAAGCUAUGGACCGAUGAGUCCAUGCACGCAGCAGUGAUUAGUGUUACAGAGGAAGGGAAAGGUUUAAGGGAAUCGGCGAGACUAUAUAAUGUGCCUGUUGAGACGUUGCGGAGAAGGACGAAUGGUACUGUUAGUGUUGACUGUAAACCGGGCCCUGCAACAGUCUUGUCGAAAGAA